UUUUUUUUUUUUUUUUUUUUUAUCCGGGAGACAGUCUUGCUCUGUUGCCCAGGCUGGAAUGCAGUGGUGCGAUCUCAGCUCACUGUAACCUCCACCUCCCAGGUUCAAGCGAUUCUCUUGCUUCAGCCUCCUGAGUAGCUGGGAUUACAGGCAUGCACCACCACUCCCGGCUAAUUUUGUAUUUUUGGUAGAGAUGGGGUUUCUCCAUGUUGGCCAGGCUGGUCUCAAACUCCUGACUUCAGGUGAUCCGCCCACCUCAGCCUCUCAAAGUGCUGGGAUUACAGGUGUGAGUCACUGCUCGGCCUCAGCUCCAGCUUUACUAAACCACAUCGGCUGCUAGACGGGUACGGGCAAAAUUAAGAGGGUACACAAAACACAAGGAUGUGGCCCCAGCGGCACCACCUGAUGCCAGAUUCCCUGCAAAGUAGCCCCAUAACUGGGUCCUCUUGUCCACACCACUCAGGAAGAUCUGCUUGUAUUUAUCUUUCAAGGUGAAAUUGAAAACCUGGGUGGGGAAGUAUCUGAUGACAUUGGACAGGUUACCAUGCCAGAAGGAUAGGACUCCCUGCUCCUUGGGAAUACGGAUCACGAAGUCUAUAAUGCCCCUGUAUUGCUUAUCUGCAGUGAUCUGCUUGCUGGCAUGAUGCACCUGCAGCAGCAGCUUGACCUGCUCGAUGGGCGCUACAGCUGUCUUGGAGAUGGGUGGGGCCACUCCACCCGCCAGGAAGUCCUUGGCGAAGGACACAGCAGCAUCUGUCAUGUUGAAAGGAAAGGGGAGGCAGGCUGCUUCAGGAAGGGACUGGGCCAGGAACCAGCUUUGACUCCAGGGCUGCUGGGCCUUUUUGGGGUUUUUCUGGAAGCUUCAUGACAACAGUAUUCCUUCCCCCCAGUACAGGGCAGGAUCCUCUCUUGGGAAGGUCUUAGGACCCGCAGUCAGAGAGGUGGGGAAACAUUCGAGUGGAAGGUGGGCAGGAGAAGGUCAGAGACUUGCCCCUGAGGCCCAACACACCCAACAUUAUAACGAAACACCAGAACAAGGGCUGUGGGAAUUAUGACCCAGGAACGUGGAUGAAAACCAACAAAUAUCAUAACAUCACAGCAAGGAGCACAGACAUUCAGACCACAGCAUACUCUUACAC
This 1139-nucleotide long non-coding RNA is filed under the name Macaca fascicularis (crab-eating macaque). RNAcentral describes it as "lncRNA (ENSMFAG00000057550.1)". Lineage: Eukaryota; Metazoa; Chordata; Mammalia; Primates; Cercopithecidae. The record is from RNAcentral.